This 253-nucleotide ribosomal RNA is filed under the name uncultured bacterium. RNAcentral describes it as "partial 16S ribosomal RNA". It matches the Rfam family "Bacterial small subunit ribosomal RNA", at positions 524 to 776 of the family's 1533-position model. The record is from RNAcentral.
UACGAAGGGGGCUAGCGUUGCUCGGAAUCACUGGGCGUAAAGGGUGCGUAGGCGGGUCUUUAAGUCAGGGGUGAAAUCCUGGAGCUCAACUCCAGAACUGCCUUUGAUACUGAAGAUCUUGAGUCCGGGAGAGGUGAGUGGAAUUCCCAGUGUAGCGGUGAAAUGCGUAGAUAUUGGGAGGAACACCAGUGGCGAAGGCGGCUCACUGGACCGGAACUGACGCUGAGGCGCGAAAGCGUGGGGAGCAAACAGG